Molecule: long non-coding RNA, 203 nt
Filed under: Brassica napus (rape)
Lineage: Eukaryota; Viridiplantae; Streptophyta; Magnoliopsida; Brassicales; Brassicaceae
Description: long non-coding RNA (BNAP_LNC003773)
Source: RNAcentral
AAAGUAACACCAUUGAAACAAAAAUUACACUAUAAUAGAAUUACUCUAUUUUGGUGUAAAUUAUAGACAGAAAAAUAGAGUCUCAUUGAAGAUGGUUUCGUACAUAAUCGUAUACGCAUAUAUAUUAUAAAGUUUAAGUAUUAUUCUUGUUGAAAACGUCGAACAAUAACUCCCAACCAUAGUAUUGUCAACUUUUCCGCCUC